RNAcentral lists this ribosomal RNA (497 nucleotides) under uncultured bacterium. Its description in RNAcentral is "partial 16S ribosomal RNA". It matches the Rfam family "Bacterial small subunit ribosomal RNA", at positions 28 to 507 of the family's 1533-position model. The record is from RNAcentral.
GACGAACGCUGGCGGCGUGCCUAAUACAUGCAAGUUGAGCGAUGAAGAUUGGUGCUUGCACCAAUUUGAAGAGCAGCGAACGGGUGAGUAACGCGUGGGGAAUCUGCCUUUGAGCGGGGGACAACAUUUGGAAACGAAUGCUAAUACCGCAUAACAACUUUAAACAUAAGUUUUAAGUUUGAAAGAUGCAAUUGCAUCACUCAAAGAUGAUCCCGCGUUGUAUUAGCUAGUUGGUGAGGUAAAGGCUCACCAAAGCGAUGAUACAUAGCCGACCUGAGAGGGUGAUCGGCCACAUUGGGACUGAGACACGGCCCAAACUCCUACGGGAGGCAGCAGUAGGGAAUCUUCGGCAAUGGACGAAAGUCUGACCGAGCAACGCCGCGUGAGUGAAGAAGGUUUUCGGAUCGUAAAACUCUGUUGGUAGAGAAGAACGUUGGUGAGAGUGGAAAGCUCAUCAAGUGACGGUAACUACCCAGAAAGGGACGGCUAACUACGUG